AGUGAACGCUGGCGGUAGGCCUAACACAUGCAAGUCGAACGGCAGCACAGUAAGAGCUUGCUCUUACGGGUGGCGAGUGGCGGACGGGUGAGGAAUACAUCGAAUCUACUUUUUCGUGGGGGAUAACGUAGGGAAACUUACGCUAAUACCGCAUACGACCUACGGGUGGAAGCCGGGGAUCUUCGGACCUUGCGCGGUUGAAUGAGCCGAUGUCGGAUUAGCUAGUUGGCGGGGUAAAGGCCCACCAAGGCGACGAUCCGUAGCUGGUCUGAGAGGAUGAUCAGCCACACUGGAACUGAGACACGGUCCAGACUCCUACGGGAGGCAGCAGUGGGGAAUAUUGGACAAUGGGCGCAAGCCUGAUCCAGCCAUACCGCGUGGGUGAAGAAGGCCUUCGGGUUGUAAAGCCCUUUUGUUGGGAAAGAAAAGCAGCAGGUUAAUACCCCGCUGUUCUGACGGUACCCAAAGAAUAAGCACCGGCUAACUUCGUG
Molecule: ribosomal RNA, 491 nt
Filed under: uncultured bacterium
Lineage: Bacteria
Description: partial 16S ribosomal RNA
Rfam family: Bacterial small subunit ribosomal RNA
Source: RNAcentral